AAUAGAUAGUUUAUUUAAAGCAUUAGUUUUGGAGACUAAAGAUAUUUUAUUUUUCUAUUGAG
RNAcentral lists this transfer RNA (62 nucleotides) under Anoeconeossa unicornuta. RNAcentral describes it as "tRNA-Pro". The record is from RNAcentral. Lineage: Eukaryota; Metazoa; Arthropoda; Insecta; Hemiptera; Aphalaridae.